Molecule: ribosomal RNA, 187 nt
Filed under: Citrobacter amalonaticus
Lineage: Bacteria; Pseudomonadati; Pseudomonadota; Gammaproteobacteria; Enterobacterales; Enterobacteriaceae
Description: partial 16S ribosomal RNA
Rfam family: Bacterial small subunit ribosomal RNA
Source: RNAcentral
AAAUUGAAGAGUUUGAUCAUGGCUCAGAUUGAACGCUGGCGGCAGGCCUAACACAUGCAAGUCGAACGGUAACAGGAAGCAGCUUGCUGCUUUGCUGACGAGUGGCGGACGGGUGAGUAAUGUCUGGGAAACUGCCCGAUGGAGGGGGAUAACUACUGGAAACGGUAGCUAAUACCGCAUAAUGUCG